CGUCCAGACUCCUACGGGAGGCAGCAGUGGGGAAUAUUGGGCAAUGGGCGCAAGCCUGACCCAGCAACGCCGCGUGAAGGAAGAAGGCUUUCGGGUUGUAAACUUCUUUUAUUCGGGACGAAGAAAGUGACGGUACCGAAUGAAUAAGCCACGGCUAACUACGUGCCAGCAGCCGCGGUAAUACGGAGGGUGCGAGCGUUAAUCGGAAUUACUGGGCGUAAAGCGCUCGUAGGCGGUAUGUCAAGUCAAGGGUGAAAUCCCCGCGCUCAACGUGGGAACUGCCUUUGAAACUGGCAAACUGGAGUGUGUGAGAGGAUAGUGGAAUUCCAGGUGUAGGAGUGAAAUCCGUAGAUAUCUGGAGGAACAUCAGUGGCGAAGGCGACUAUCUGGCACAUAACUGACGCUGAGGAGCGAAAGCGUGGGUAGCAAACAGGAUUAGAUACCCGGGUAC
This 451-nucleotide ribosomal RNA is filed under the name uncultured bacterium. Its description in RNAcentral is "bacterial SSU rRNA". It matches the Rfam family "Bacterial small subunit ribosomal RNA", at positions 328 to 793 of the family's 1533-position model. The record is from RNAcentral.